This 30-nucleotide non-coding RNA is filed under the name Mus musculus (house mouse). Lineage: Eukaryota; Metazoa; Chordata; Mammalia; Rodentia; Muridae. The record is from RNAcentral.
CAGAUUCUAAAGAUGAUUUUAGUUGAUUGC